Long non-coding RNA from Ylistrum balloti, 239 nucleotides. RefSeq lists it as uncharacterized. The transcript is spliced from 3 exons. Lineage: Eukaryota; Metazoa; Mollusca; Bivalvia; Pectinida; Pectinidae. The record is from RefSeq and is a predicted model, not a curated record.
UUUUUGGUGUUGACGCAUCACCCGACUGUUGAGAAACUUGUUUUGAUCAAAUUGAUCAAUUAUUAAAGUAACCAGCUAAUACAGUCGUACCUCCAGAGGAGUCAUUUCCUGCCCCAAAUGGACAGUCCGAGCCUCGUCUGGAGUCACCACCUGUUACACUCAUCCUCACUGACGAGCUUUCUGAGUCCUCUGUUCGAUGCCAAGCACAUCUCGGCAAACAUCAAUUACAUCCACACCAG